GCCAGGUCGUAAUAUCGACUCACACCACAAACGCCAGGGAAUUACGAGCUUAAGCUUAAAACCCAAAGGACUUGACGGUGUCCCCAUCACUAGAGGGCCUGUUCUAUAACCGAUGAUCCACGAUACACCUAACCUUUUCUUGCUUUUCAGCCUGUAUACCUCCGUCGCAAGCUUGCCGUCUGAACGCACAACAGCAAGCCCAAGGGCCAAUCGCCAAAAGGUCAGGUCGAGGUGCAGCUAAUGAAAUGGAAAGCAAUGGGCUACAAUUUCUAAGUUAGAACAAACGAAACACUGCAUGAAACAUAGUCAUGAAGGCGGAUUUAGCAGUAAGGAGGGAAUAGAGAGCCCCACUUAACCCGGCCCUGGGACG
This 370-nucleotide ribosomal RNA is filed under the name Nyctixalus pictus (painted Indonesian treefrog). RNAcentral describes it as "partial 12S ribosomal RNA". It matches the Rfam family "Bacterial small subunit ribosomal RNA", at positions 875 to 1381 of the family's 1533-position model. The record is from RNAcentral. Lineage: Eukaryota; Metazoa; Chordata; Amphibia; Anura; Rhacophoridae.